This is a non-coding RNA of Ustilago bromivora, 72 nucleotides long. NCBI's taxonomy places the organism in Eukaryota, Fungi, Basidiomycota, Ustilaginomycetes, Ustilaginales, Ustilaginaceae. The record is from the annotation of a GenBank genome assembly.
GGCCCUAUAGCUCAGCGGUAGAGCGUUGGCUUCCAGUUCCAAAGGUCAUCCGUUCAAAUCGGGUUGGGGUCA